AUUGAACGCUGGCGGCAGGCCUAACACAUGCAAGUCGAGCGCGAAAGUUCUUCGGAAAGAGUAAAGCGGCGGACGGGUGAGUAAUACAUGGGAAUCUGCCUGGUAGUGGGGGACAACGUUUCGAAAGGAACGCUAAUACCGCAUACGCCCUACGGGGAAAGGGGGGAUCUUCGGACCUCUCGCUAUCAGAUGAGCCCAUG
RNAcentral lists this ribosomal RNA (200 nucleotides) under uncultured bacterium. Its description in RNAcentral is "partial 16S ribosomal RNA". It matches the Rfam family "Bacterial small subunit ribosomal RNA", at positions 30 to 235 of the family's 1533-position model. The record is from RNAcentral.